CGGAGGAUGCGAGCGUUAUCCGGAUUAUUGGUUAAGGUGCGUAGGUUGUUCGGUAAGUCAGCGGUGAACCUGAGCGCUCAACGUUCAGCCUGCCGUUGAACUGCCGGGCUUGAGUUCAGUGGCGGCAGGCGGAAUUCGUGGUGUAGCGGUGAAAUGCAUAGAUAUCACGAGGAACUCCGAUUGCGAAGGCAGCUUGCCAUACUGCGACUGACACUGAAGCACGAAGGCGUGGGUAUCAAACAGGAUU
RNAcentral lists this ribosomal RNA (247 nucleotides) under uncultured bacterium. RNAcentral's name for it is "partial 16S ribosomal RNA". It matches the Rfam family "Bacterial small subunit ribosomal RNA", at positions 526 to 779 of the family's 1533-position model. The record is from RNAcentral.